ACGAGACUAAAGGUCAACAAAGAGCUGUCUUACAUCGCAUAUAGCUCUUUAUUUAUGAGAUAUAUUGGAUGCUAUUAAUCUUUUCCUCAAUCUAGUAAUUGAUAAAUCGUAUACUAUUUUGGUUGUUGGUAAUUAAUUAAUCAUUGGUCGAGGCCUAUGAAGUAAAAUUCCAAUGUUUGACAUCAUAGCUCGAAUUUAUUGAGUAUCAAAACCUUUAUAUUGAAUGGAAAAAAGCUGUCAAUAUUUCAAAUAGUUAUCUGGUCUGUCCUGUGUAAAAGCUGACAUGUAAUGGAAAAGUUGAUGGCCCAGUACUUGAAUUAUUAACAGAGUUGAAAAUGUUGUGCAGUUUGCAUCAAUUGUGAUAAAGCAACCGUACGGCAAUUGGAAAUUUCAAUUCUUGACCAGCACCCUUCAGCAAACAACACCAAAGAUACUGAAUGUACAAGAAAUCAAAUUACUGAAGGUGAAGAUGAAGAUCAUCAUCAGUAUUUCGAUGGUCGCCGAAUACAUAGAGUGCCCCACGUAAUGCGAUUCAAGAAACACAAUGAAGAGGAUCCCUACGCACCUAAGAUUGUUUCUGUUGGGA
Molecule: long non-coding RNA, 586 nt
Filed under: Olea europaea subsp. europaea
Lineage: Eukaryota; Viridiplantae; Streptophyta; Magnoliopsida; Lamiales; Oleaceae
Source: RNAcentral